AGCGAGGCAUCGACCAGCGUGCGACGGUAGCGAGCAGCAAACGACGAUGGUGAGUGAGCGACGACGGUGCGAGCAGCAAACGAUGGUGGCGAGUGAGCGACGACGCCAAGUAAUAAGUUUGUUGAAUCCACUCCCUCUAGCAAGGAAGCAUUUGAUCACAACAAGAAAUGUUGAGGUGGCCAGGCACCAGACCGAAGCUAGGAGCGUCAAGUUAAGCUCAUGUUUUCUCAAUUCAACUAUUGUGCCUCACUUUGAGGUUCCGAGUCCGUUCAAGCCAAGGCUAUUUGGGGUGUUCCAGAUUCACCCUUUUGUCUCUGUUAUGUAAUGAAUGUUUAAGACUUUUGACUGUACAGUUAUGGUAAAGGGAUUAGAUCCCUAACCUGUAUGUUAUGUGUAUCCGAUAUGUAUAUAUGUUUAUGGUUAUGAAUGUGGACUAGUCCAUAAAAGUCUUUUGCCUUCCAGAUUUUCACA
Non-coding RNA from Camellia sinensis, 471 nucleotides. The record is from RefSeq and is a predicted model, not a curated record. NCBI's taxonomy places the organism in Eukaryota, Viridiplantae, Streptophyta, Magnoliopsida, Ericales, Theaceae.